This 434-nucleotide ribosomal RNA is filed under the name uncultured bacterium. RNAcentral describes it as "partial 16S ribosomal RNA". It matches the Rfam family "Bacterial small subunit ribosomal RNA", at positions 29 to 506 of the family's 1533-position model. The record is from RNAcentral.
AGCGAACGCUGGCGGCAGGCUUAACACAUGCAAGUCGAGCGGGCACUUUCGGGUGUCAGCGGCGGACGGGUGAGUAACGCGUGGGAACGUGCCCUCUGGUUCGGAAUAACUCAGGGAAACUUGAGCUAAUACCGGAUACGCCCUUUUGGGGAAAGGCUUGCUGCCGGAGGAUCGGCCCGCGUCUGAUUAGCUAGUUGGUGAGGUAACGGCUCACCAAGGCGACGAUCAGUAGCUGGUCUGAGAGGAUGAUCAGCCACACUGGGACUGAGACACGGCCCAGACUCCUACGGGAGGCAGCAGUGGGGAAUAUUGGACAAUGGGCGCAAGCCUGAUCCAGCCAUGCCGCGUGAGUGAUGAAGGCCUUAGGGUUGUAAAGCUCUUUUAUCCGGGACGAUAAUAACGGUACCGGAGGAAUAAGCCCCGGCUAACUUCGU